GACGAACGCUGGCGGCGUGCUUAACACAUGCAAGUCGAGCGGUAAGGCCCUUUCGGGGGUACGACGAGCGGCGAACGGGUGAGUAACACGUGGGUGACCUGCCCUCAGCUCUGGGAUAAGCCCGGGAAACUGGGUCUAAUACCGGAUAUGACUCCAUGACGCAUGUUGUGGGGUGGAAAGCCUUGUGCGGCUGAGGAUGGGCCCGCGGCCUAUCAGCUUGUUGGUGGGGUGAGGCCCUACCAAGGCGACGACGGGUAGCCGGCCUGAGAGGGCGACCGGCCACACUGGGACUGAGAUACGGCCCAGACUCCUACGGGAGGCAGCAGUGGGGAAUCUUGCGCAAUGGGCGAAAGCCUGACGCAGCGACGCCGCGUGAGGGAU
RNAcentral lists this ribosomal RNA (381 nucleotides) under uncultured bacterium. Its description in RNAcentral is "bacterial SSU rRNA". It matches the Rfam family "Bacterial small subunit ribosomal RNA", at positions 28 to 409 of the family's 1533-position model. The record is from RNAcentral.